AAUUUAACAGCGGAAUUCGACAAUUUCACGGCUUGUACUGAUUUUCAAAGCGUUUCAUUACGUUUUAAAUAUGUAUGUGAAGUUAGCGGCCGGUUCGUUAUUCGAUAUUCGAUAUUAAAUAAAAUUAUCCAACCGGCUGCUUGAUAAUAUUAAAAGCAUGAUUUUCAUAGUUAAGAGGAGUGAAAAGAUACAUAGGAAAUCGUUUUAUGAGCCCUUCAAGCUGUCAUAGAUUCUCGUUGUCCUCGAAUUUAAACCCUUCGUAAGUUGCAUAAUUGUCUUUAUGUAAUAUAUAGUUUUUAUCAAUAAAACAACAUUAAAGAUGUAUUUUAUAUAUAAUAAUUCUUAAAACAAUAAAAAAAAAACAUAGAGCUAAAAACAUUUAGAAAUAUAAAUAUAAAUAAUUAUGGAAAGCCCCCUCCCCUCCCCCAAAAAAUGUAUAAUGAAAACCUACCGGAAUCCACC
This 462-nucleotide long non-coding RNA is filed under the name Mytilus galloprovincialis (Mediterranean mussel). Lineage: Eukaryota; Metazoa; Mollusca; Bivalvia; Mytilida; Mytilidae. The record is from RNAcentral.